This 84-nucleotide microRNA precursor is filed under the name Oncorhynchus kisutch (coho salmon). RNAcentral's name for it is "mir-143 microRNA precursor family". It matches the Rfam family "mir-143 microRNA precursor family". Lineage: Eukaryota; Metazoa; Chordata; Actinopteri; Salmoniformes; Salmonidae. RNAcentral also lists the same sequence under 5 other names. The record is from Rfam by way of RNAcentral.
GGUCCUCAGGCCCCAGGUGCAGUGCUGCAUCUCUGGUCAAUUGGGAGUCUGAGAUGAAGCACUGUAGCUCGGGAAGGAGGGUGC